GGCCUAACACAUGCAAGUCGAGCGCGAAAGGCUUUCGGGCUGAGUAGAGCGGCGGACGGGUGAGUAACGCGUAGGAAUCUACCUGGUAGUGGGGGACAACUUGGGGAAACUCAAGCUAAUACCGCAUACGCCCCACGGGGGAAAGCGGGGGACCUUCGGGCCUCGCGCUAUCAGAUGAGCCUGCGUAGGAUUAGCUAGUUGGUGAGGUAAAGGCUCACCAAGGCGACGAUCCUUAGCUGGUCUGAGAGGAUGAUCAGCCACACUGGGACUGAGACACGGCCCAGACUCCUACGGGAGGCAGCAGUGGGGAAUAUUGCGCAAUGGGGGCAACCCUGACGCAGCCAUGCCGCGUGUGUGAAGAAGGCCUUCGGGUUGUAAAGCACUUUAAGUGGGGAGAAAAGGGUAGCGGUUAAUAGCCGUUACCUGUGAUGUUACCCACAGAAUAAGCACCGGCUAACUCCGUGCCAGCAGCCGCGGUAAUACGGAGGGUGCGAGCGUUAAUCGGAAUUACUGGGCGUAAAGCGCGCGUAGGCGGUUUGUUAAGUCAGCUGUGAAAGCCCCGGGCUCAACCUGGGAACUGCAGUUGAUACUGGCCGACUAGAGUACGAGAGAGGGAGGUAGAAUUCCAUGUGUAGCGGUGAAAUGCGUAGAUAUAUGGAGGAAUACCGGUGGCGAAGGCGGCCUCCUGGCUCGAUACUGACGCUGAGGUGCGAAAGCGUGGGGAUCAAACAGGAUUAGAUACCCUGGUAGUCCACGCCGUAAACGAUGUCUACUAGCCGUUGGGAGACUUGAUCUCUUAGUGGCGCAGCUAACGCAAUAAGUAGACCGCCUGGGGAGUACGGCCGCAAGGUUAAAACUCAAAUGAAUUGACGGGGGCCCGCACAAGCGGUGGAGCAUGUGGUUUAAUUCGAUGCAACGCGAAGAACCUUACCAGGUCUUGACAUCCUCGGACUUUCCAGAGAUGGAUUGGUGCCUUCGGGAACCGAGAGACAGGUGCUGCAUGGCUGUCGUCAGCUCGUGUCGUGAGAUGUUGGGUUAAGUCCCGUAACGAGCGCAACCCUUGUCCUUAGUUGCCAGCACGUAAUGGUGGGAACUCUAAGGAGACUGCCGGUGACAAACCGGAGGAAGGUGGGGACGACGUCAAGUCAUCAUGGCCCUUACGACCUGGGCUACACACGUGCUACAAUGGAACGCACAGAGGGCAGCAAAAGCGCGAGCUGGAGCCAAUCCCAUAAAACGUUUCGUAGUCCGGAUCGGAGUCUGCAACUCGACUCCGUGAAGUCGGAAUCGCUAGUAAUCGUGGAUCAGAAUGCCACGGUGAAUACGUUCCCGGGCCUUGUACACACCGCCCGUCACACCAUGGGAGUGGGUUGCUCCAGAAGUGGUUAGCCUAACCUUCGGGGGGGCGAUCACCAGGGAGUGAUUCAUGACUGGGGUGAAGUCGUAACAAGGUA
Molecule: ribosomal RNA, 1454 nt
Filed under: metagenome
Description: bacterial SSU rRNA
Rfam family: Bacterial small subunit ribosomal RNA
Source: RNAcentral